CCCUUAGAUGUUCUGGGCCGCACGCGUGCUACACUGAGUGGAUCAGCGGGUCAGGUUGCGCGAAAGUGUUUCCUAAUCUUGAAAUCCGCUCGUGAUGGGGAUUGACGGUUGCAAUUUUCCGUCAUGAACGAGGAAUACCUUGUAAGCGCGGGUCAUCAUCCCGCGCUGAAUACGUCCCUGCCCUUUGUACACACCGCCCGUCGCUCCUACCGAUUGAGUGGUCCGGUGAGGCUUUGGGAUCUGAGCGGAAAGAGCGUUUCGCUGUUUCUGCUCGGAAAACUCAGUCGAACCUUAUCAUUUAGAGGAAGGAGAAGUCGUAGCA
Molecule: ribosomal RNA, 322 nt
Filed under: uncultured eukaryote
Lineage: Eukaryota
Description: partial 18S ribosomal RNA
Rfam family: Eukaryotic small subunit ribosomal RNA
Source: RNAcentral